ACUAAGGAUCAAUCCUUCGAGAAGGUCUGCAAGGACUUGAUCCUUAACAGGUGUCUCAUUCUCUUUCUCCCUCUCUCUAUCUCUCCUCUAUCAUCUUCCUCUUGUUCUUCGUCGCCCACUCCUCGCAGCCAAGCCCCAGCCGCAGCAGCUCUCCGUCUGGUCUUCUGCUUCCACCGCAGGAAGUUGUGAUCCAACUAGCCAUCCACUUCUAGAAGGAAGUUGUGAUCCAACUACCCACCAAUAAGGCCACCACACGAUCGCAUAGCGAGAAAGAGAGAGAGACCAUCUUCUUCUAUAUUAACGCUUCUCCUCUAACCCAUUCCUCUCCUACCUCCUCCAUUUAUUAGUUUUCCUCCUUCCCACUCACUCGACUCGGGUCGUGACCAGCUCUUUCGAGAAAUGGCAACGGGACAGCCUUUUCUCGGACGACACAAGCUCUGUUCUACAACUACAAGCAGCUUCCUGUCCAACGAAUGCUCGACUUCAACUUCCUCUGCGGUAAAAAAUCAUCAGAUCACACUGUCUCCCCUACAGCUCGGGAAUGGCGAAAGCUCUCUCCGAGAUGUAAGUUUGUGUAAGUAUUGGGUUGCAGAGGGACUGAUGAAGCUGCAUUUGAGUCUGUAGCAAUAUGUGGUAGCUUCUUCUUCGCAUGUGGUUUGUUUGGAUUUGGUUAGUUGUUGUGCAGCUUCUUCACAGGAUGUAUUCAACGAGUGAUAUGUGUCCAUUUCUGUGGAUAAACAAAACCUUCUUUUUCCUUUAGUUCUUCUCUCCACCUCGUUGUGUUUGGAUUAUGUCAUGACUCUUGUCUCUUUUGUUCAAUGCACUUGUUUUCUUAGAUCAGUGUAAUGCAUUUGAGAUGUGAAUUUUAACAAAAAUAAACUUUUUGUUCUCUUAAGGAUUCCUAAAAAAAAUCCACCAUUGGACUGCUUAUUUUACUAAGAGUCUUUAACUAUUCAAUUGAAAAAAAAAAUACUAAAAUAGUCCCUAAGGAUUCCACAAUGGAAUCCACCAUUGUAGAUGCUCUUAGACACUAGGAUUAGACACAAACGUUUUAUAAAAGCCAACUCAGACUGUAAGCAUCUCUUAGUCUACACCUUUCUUUCCGGUAUCUUUUUGUUUUUAUAUUUUCUCCAUAACAACAGAGAGAGAACUAACGAUGAGAGGAAGUAGAGAAGAAGAGCCAGGGGCAAGAGUUCCACUGCUGGAAAGCCCUAACACGGCCGAACAAGAAGGUGGAGGAUUGAAGAAGAGAGUUUGGGUUGAGACAAAGAAGCUAUGGCAAAUCGUUGGCCCUGCGAUAUUCACUAGAUUAUCGGCAUACUCGAUGCUUGUAAUAACUCAGGCUUUCGCUGGUCAUCUCGGAGAUCUCGAACUAGCCGCAAUAUCCAUCGUUAACAACGUCAUCGUUGGCUUCAACUUCGGCCUCUUUCUUGGGAUGGCGAGUGCGUUGGAAACGCUGUGUGGACAAGCGUUUGGAGCGAAGAAGCAUUACAUGUUAGGAGUUUAUAUGCAACGUUCUUGGAUUGUUCUCUUCUUUUGCUGUCUCUUGUUAUUACCGACUUAUCUUUUCACAACCCCUGUUCUCAAAUUUAUCGGUCAACCAGACGAUAUCGCUGAGCUUUCUGGGGUCGUGUCUUUGUGGGCCAUCCCUCUUCAUUUCGCUUACCCUCUGUCCUUCCCGCUUCAACGUUCCUCCAGUGCCAGCUCAAAAACCACGUGACUGCGUAUGCCGCUGCGGUUUCAUUGGUAGUUCACUUUUUAGUGAGUUGGUUGUUCGUGGAUGGGCUUAAACUCGGAGUCGUUGGGACUAUGGUUACUGUCAGCAUCUCUUGGUGGGUCAACGUUCUUAUUGUAUUAGCUUACACCGUUUGCGGCGGCUGUCCACUCACUUGGACCGGAUUCUCUUCCGAAGCCUUCACCGGGCUUUGGGAGUUUCUCAAACUCUCCGCUUCUUCCGGCGUCAUGCUUUGUUUAGAAAAUUGGUAUUACCGGAUUUUGAUUAUAGUGACUGGGAAUCUUCAGAAUACUCGAAUAGCUGUUGACGCUUUAUCUAUAUGCAUGUCGAUAAAUGGGUGGGAGAUGAUGAUUCCUCUCGCUUUCUUCGCCGGAACCGGUGUACGUGUGGCGAACGAGUUAGGAGCAGGUAAUGGAAAAGGAGCAAAGUUUGCGACGAUUGUAUCAGUGACACAAUCGAUGAUAAUCGGAGUAUUCUUUGGGUUGAUAAUAAUGCUUUUACAUAACCAAAUCGCUUGGAUCUUUUCAUCAAGCGAAGCCGUUUUAACAGCUGUUAAUAAACUCACCGUUCUGUUAACUCUCACCGUUCUUCUUAAUAGCAUUCAACCUGUACUUUCCGGUGUUGCAGUUGGAUCGGGUUGGCAAUCCUACGUGGCAUAUAUAAACUUAGGAUGUUACUAUUGCAUUGGAAUUCCACUUGGAAUUUUAAUGGGUUGGGUUUUUGAAUUCGGCGUCAUGGGUAUUUGGGCUGGUAUGAUAUUUGGAGGAACCGCAGUUCAGACAAUAAUUUUAAGUUUGAUCACAAUGAGAUGUGAAUGGGAAAAAGAGGCGCAGAUUGCACAAGCACGUGUUAACAAAUGGUCCAAAGCAAUAGAAUGAAGAUUUCUCGAAACAUUUCAGCAUAAUUUUCUUAUCUAUUUUUUUUUCCUUAUCUAUGUAUUGUCUUUGUAAACAUUUUGUCAGCAAUUUAUCUAGAACCGGUUCAAGUAUCAUAGAAGCCUUGAGCAGUUAGUGAGU
Molecule: RNA transcript, 2751 nt
Organism: Raphanus sativus (radish)
Lineage: Eukaryota; Viridiplantae; Streptophyta; Magnoliopsida; Brassicales; Brassicaceae
Gene name: protein DETOXIFICATION 27-like
Exons: 10
Source: RefSeq, a predicted model, not a curated record